AUUGAACGCUGGCGGCAUGCCUUACACAUGCAAGUCGAACGGCAGCGCGGGAGCAAUCCUGGCGGCGAGUGGCGAACGGGUGAGUAGUGCAUCGGAACGUGCCCAGUUGUGGGGGAUAGCCCGGCGAAAGCCGGAUUAAUACCGCAUGAGACCUGAGGGUGAGGGCGGGGGAUCGAAAGACCUCGCGCGACCGGAGCGGCCGAUGUCAGAUUAGGUAGUUGGUGGGGUAAGGGCCUACCAAGCCUGCGAUCUGUAGCUGGUCUGAGAGGACGACCAGCCACACUGGGACUGAGACACGGCCCAGACUCCUACGGGAGGCAGCAGUGGGGAAUUUUGGACAAUGGGCGCAAGCCUGAUCCAGCCAUGCCGCGUGCGGGAAGAAGGCCUUCGGGUUGUAAACCGCUUUUGUCGGGGAAGAAACGGCCUGGGCUAAUACCUUGGGCUAAUGACGGUACCCGAAGAAUAAGCACCGGCUAACUACGUGCCAGCAGCCGCCGUAA
RNAcentral lists this ribosomal RNA (500 nucleotides) under uncultured bacterium. RNAcentral's name for it is "partial 16S ribosomal RNA". It matches the Rfam family "Bacterial small subunit ribosomal RNA", at positions 28 to 523 of the family's 1533-position model. The record is from RNAcentral.